RNAcentral lists this ribosomal RNA (568 nucleotides) under uncultured Ascomycota. RNAcentral describes it as "eukaryotic LSU rRNA". The stretch from base 215 to 368 matches the Rfam family "5.8S ribosomal RNA". Lineage: Eukaryota; Fungi; Ascomycota. The record is from RNAcentral.
AGCGCCGCGGAGCUCGCUCCCGGGGCUACCUACUCCCGUAGGGUUUAGAGUCGUCGGGCCUCUCGGAGAAGCUCGGUCCUGAACUCCACCCUUGAAUAAACUACCUUUGUUGCUUUGGCGGGCCGCCUCGUGCCAGCGGCUUCGGCUGUUGAGUGCCCGCCAGAGGACCCCAACUCUUGUUUUUAGUGAUGUCUGAGUACUAUAUAAUAGUUAAAACUUUCAACAACGGAUCUCUUGGUUCUGGCAUCGAUGAAGAACGCAGCGAAAUGCGAUAAGUAAUGUGAAUUGCAGAAUUCAGUGAAUCAUCGAAUCUUUGAACGCACAUUGCGCCCUCUGGUAUUCCGGGGGGCAUGCCUGUUCGAGCGUCAUUAUAACCACUCAAGCUCUCGCUUGGUAUUGGGGUUCGCGGUUUCGCGGCCCCUAAAAUCAGUGGCGGUGCCUGUCGGCUCUACGCGUAGUAAUACUCCUCGCGAUUGGGUCCGGUAGGUCUACUUGCCAGCAACCCCUAAUUUUUUUAAGGUUGACCUCGGAUCAGGUAGGGAUACCCGCUGAACUUAAGCAUAUCAAU